GGUUAAGUUAGAAAGGGCGCACGGUGGAUGCCUUGACACUAGGAGUCGAUGAAGGACGGGACUAACGCCGAUAUGCUUCGGGGAGCUGUAAGUAAGCUUUGAUCCGAAGAUUUCCGAAUGGGGAAACCCACCAUACGUAAUGGUAUGGUAUCCUUAUCUGAAUACAUAGGGUAAGGAAGACAGACUCAGGGAACUGAAACAUCUAAGUACCUGGAGGAAGAGAAAGCAAAUGCGAUUUCCUGAGUAGCGGCGAGCGAAACGGAACAUAGCCCAAACCAAGAGGCUUGCCUCUUGGGGUUGUAGGACAUUCUAUACGGAGUUACAAAGGAACGAGGUAGACGAAGCGACCUGGAAAGGUCCGUCGUAGAGGGUAACAACCCCGUAGUCGAAACUUCGUUCUCUCUUGAAUGUAUCCUGAGUACGGCGGAACACGUGAAAUUCCGUCGGAAUCUGGGAGGACCAUCUCCCAAGGCUAAAUACUCCCUAGUGAUCGAUAGUGAACCAGUACCGUGAGGGAAAGGUGAAAAGCACCCCGGAAGGGGAGUGAAAGAGAUCCUGAAACCGUGUGCCUACAAAUAGUCAGAGCCCGUUAAUGGGUGAUGGCGUGCCUUUUGUAGAAUGAACCGGCGAGUUACGAUCCCGUGCGAGGUUAAGCUGAAGAGGCGGAGCCGCAGCGAAAGCGAGUCUGAAUAGGGCGUUUAGUACGUGGUCGUAGACCCGAAACCAGGUGAUCUACCCAUGUCCAGGGUGAAGUUCAGGUAACACUGAAUGGAGGCCCGAACCCACGCACGUUGAAAAGUGCGGGGAUGAGGUGUGGGUAGCGGAGAAAUUCCAAUCGAACCUGGAGAUAGCUGGUUCUCCCCGAAAUAGCUUUAGGGCUAGCCUUAAGUGUAAGAGUCUUGGAGGUAGAGCACUGAUUGGACUAGGGGUCCUCAUCGGAUUACCGAAUUCAGUCAAACUCCGAAUGCCAAUGACUUAUCCUUAGGAGUCAGACUGCGAGUGAUAAGAUCCGUAGUCAAAAGGGAAACAGCCCAGACCGCCAGCUAAGGUCCCAAAGUGUGUAUUAAGUGGAAAAGGAUGUGGAGUUGCUUAGACAACUAGGAUGUUGGCUUAGAAGCAGCCACCAUUUAAAGAGUGCGUAAUAGCUCACUAGUCGAGUGACUCUGCGCCGAAAAUGUACCGGGGCUAAAUACACCACCGAAGCUGCGGAUUGAUACCAAUGGUAUCAGUGGUAGGGGAGCGUUCUAAGGACAGUGAAGUCAGACCGGAAGGACUGGUGGAGUGCUUAGAAGUGAGAAUGCCGGUAUGAGUAGCGAAAGACGGGUGAGAAUCCCGUCCACCGAAUGCCUAAGGUUUCCUGAGGAAGGCUCGUCCGCUCAGGGUUAGUCAGGACCUAAGCCGAGGCCGACAGGCGUAGGCGAUGGACAACAGGUUGAUAUUCCUGUACCACCUCUUUAUCGUUUGAGCAAUGGAGGGACGCAGAAGGAUAGAAGAAGCGUGCGAUUGGUUGUGCACGUCCAAGCAGUUAGGCUGAUAAGUAGGCAAAUCCGCUUAUCGUGAAGGCUGAGCUGUGAUGGGGAAGCUCCUUAUGGAGCGAAGUCUUUGAUUCCCCGCUGCCAAGAAAAGCUUCUAGCGAGAUAAAAGGUGCCUGUACCGCAAACCGACACAGGUAGGCGAGGAGAGAAUCCUAAGGUGUGCGAGAGAACUCUGGUUAAGGAACUCGGCAAAAUGACCCCGUAACUUCGGGAGAAGGGGUGCUUUCUUAACGGAAAGCCGCAGUGAAUAGGCCCAAGCGACUGUUUAGCAAAAACACAGCUCUCUGCGAAGCCGUAAGGCGAAGUAUAGGGGGUGACACCUGCCCGGUGCUGGAAGGUUAAGGAGAGGGGUUAGCGUAAGCGAAGCUCUGAACUGAAGCCCCAGUAAACGGCGGCCGUAACUAUAACGGUCCUAAGGUAGCGAAAUUCCUUGUCGGGUAAGUUCCGACCCGCACGAAAGGUGUAACGAUUUGGGCACUGUCUCAACCAGAGACUCGGUGAAAUUAUAGUACCUGUGAAGAUGCAGGUUACCCGCGACAGGACGGAAAGACCCCGUGGAGCUUUACUGUAGCCUGAUAUUGAAUUUUGGUACAGUUUGUACAGGAUAGGCGGGAGCCUUUGAAACCGGAGCGCUAGCUUCGGUGGAGGCGCUGGUGGGAUACCGCCCUGACUGUAUUGAAAUUCUAACCUACGGGUCUUAUCGACCCGGGAGACAGUGUCAGGUGGGCAGUUUGACUGGGGCGGUCGCCUCCUAAAGUGUAACGGAGGCGCCCAAAGGUUCCCUCAGAAUGGUUGGAAAUCAUUCGUAGAGUGCAAAGGCAUAAGGGAGCUUGACUGCGAGACCUACAAGUCGAGCAGGGACGAAAGUCGGGCUUAGUGAUCCGGUGGUUCCGCAUGGAAGGGCCAUCGCUCAACGGAUAAAAGCUACCCCGGGGAUAACAGGCUUAUCUCCCCCAAGAGUCCACAUCGACGGGGAGGUUUGGCACCUCGAUGUCGGCUCAUCGCAUCCUGGGGCUGUAGUCGGUCCCAAGGGUUGGGCUGUUCGCCCAUUAAAGCGGUACGCGAGCUGGGUUCAGAACGUCGUGAGACAGUUCGGUCCCUAUCCGUCGUGGGCGUAGGAAAUUUGAGAGGAGCUGUCCUUAGUACGAGAGGACCGGGAUGGACGCACCGCUGGUGUACCAGUUGUUCUGCCAAGGGCAUAGCUGGGUAGCUAUGUGCGGAAGGGAUAAGUGCUGAAAGCAUCUAAGCAUGAAGCCCCCCUCAAGAUGAGAUUUCCCAUAGCGUAAGCUAGUAAGAUCCCUGAAAGAUGAUCAGGUUGAUAGGUUCGAGGUGGAAGCAUGGUGACAUGUGGAGCUGACGAAUACUAAUAGAUCGAGGACUUAACCAU
RNAcentral lists this ribosomal RNA (2922 nucleotides) under Bacillus anthracis (anthrax bacterium). RNAcentral describes it as "23S ribosomal RNA". It matches the Rfam family "Bacterial large subunit ribosomal RNA". Lineage: Bacteria; Bacillati; Bacillota; Bacilli; Caryophanales; Bacillaceae. The record is from RNAcentral. RNAcentral also lists the same sequence under 1 other name.